Molecule: ribosomal RNA, 254 nt
Filed under: uncultured bacterium
Lineage: Bacteria
Description: partial 16S ribosomal RNA
Rfam family: Bacterial small subunit ribosomal RNA
Source: RNAcentral
UACGGGGGGAGCAAGCGUUGUUCGGAUUUACUGGGCGUAAAGGGCGCGUAGGCGGUCGUGACAAGUCACUUGUGAAAUCUCCGGGCUUAACUCGGAACGGUCAAGUGAUUCUGUCGGACUAGAGUACAGAAGGGGCAACUGGAAUUCUCGGUGUAGCGGUGAAAUGCGUAGAUAUCGAGAGGAACACCUGCGGCGAAGGCGGGUUGCUGGGCUGAUACUGACGCUGAGGCGCGAAAGCCAGGGGAGCGAACGGG